Molecule: long non-coding RNA, 1425 nt
Filed under: Dromaius novaehollandiae (emu)
Lineage: Eukaryota; Metazoa; Chordata; Aves; Casuariiformes; Dromaiidae
Description: lncRNA (ENSDNVG00000000598.1)
Source: RNAcentral
UGUUUAUAAAUCGUGGGUAGAGCAACAAGAUUACAGGAAUGCAUAGGUGUUCUGUGUACCAGUUGGUACCUGGAAACUCUUGRAUUCUGUCCACCAAUCUUAUGUUGAAUCCUCUGUUCUUCCAGGUGUCAAAGUUGACACUUGGUAGCCCCUGCUUCCUAGACAGAUAGAAGAGGUGACAGUAGGCAGAACAAAACACUCUGAGGCCUCUCAUGUCUGCACUAGGGAUUUCCUUCUCUAUCUCCUUCCAUGCAAAGCACUCUUAGAAAUGAAGUAAACUAUAGUCAGAUAUCAUUUGAGUAGCUGAAACUUCCCAUCUGGGAAACUUAGGAAAACUGAACUUGCAUAAAUCAUGCUGUAUGUCUGUUUAGCUCAUAAAGUGUUUGUGUAGGAUUUUUGUGGCUUUGAAAUGACUAAGAUAACUGGUAGAGAGGUCCCUGAUUAGUUUCAGAACUUGGCCAACUUGUGGAGGUGUAGAUGGGUGAAGCAUGGAUGACAGAAAAGGUUGUAGUAGACUUCUAGUAGAAGAUAGAGUAGGUCUGUGUUGGACUCUUCUAAUAGGCUUGUGCAGCCAUCUAAGAAUCACAGCCAAAAUGUAGUGUCCUGUAGCUGCUGCUCUCUGAGCAAAGUCCAGAGGUGAUGGAGAGUUGGAGCUGGUAUAUUGAUUUCCAUUUGCCAUAUUUGGAAAACCUGGUACAAUGUCAAUGGACUGGAAUGUCUGCCCUCUGCUCUAAGUUUCUUGGUUACCCUUUGUCACUUAAGCUUCUUGAAUUACAAAUAUUCUGUGAGUGUUUACUGAUGAUUUUCAGGUGCCCUGUACUAUUAGUGUGUUAUCUGCCUCUGUAUGUGAAUGGUCAUUUUCUUCUGCACUGUCCAGAUCUUACAUUCUCCCUCUCUCUUUAUUCCAUCCUCUACCAGAGUUUCACAGUCACCUCUGUGCCUUUUCCCAUAUGGCCUCCUCUGCAUGAUACUGUCUCCCUGGGCUUGUUCUCACACAUUAAAACCUCUCUUAAAAAUAUGUUCUUCUGUGCUGCAUAUAGUAAAGCCAAAUUGCUUAAGUAUCAAUUGCCUAUUGUUGUUCCAUCUCCUCAACUUUUAUAGUGAUCUGCUUUUAAGUGAGGAGCAGCCUGGAAAAAGGACCACAACUCACAGGGUGUUUACAAAACUCACAGGGUAUUACAGAAGUAACUUUCCUCUCACAGGUACUGCUAUAAUUGAGUGGUCAAUAACUAAUGAUGAUGGAGGAAAGAAUUAUCUGUGGAAUGCCUGGUCCCUCAAGUGCAUAGUGAGGGCCAAACUAGUUGCGGUUCAUCUCUGCACGUUGGAGGCAUGUGGAUUAGGAUCUUAAUGCUGUGGUUUGGAGAGAAAUGAGUGAUGAAAAGGAUUCAUAGAUUUGCAAACCAGUGAGACAGGUGCCAGGACUCC